Molecule: long non-coding RNA, 561 nt
Organism: Pocillopora damicornis (cauliflower coral)
Lineage: Eukaryota; Metazoa; Cnidaria; Anthozoa; Scleractinia; Pocilloporidae
Source: RefSeq, a predicted model, not a curated record
GGGAAAAACAGUGUGAAAUUCUCGUGAAGAAGAUGUGGGAUAUAAGUUCUGUUGCAGGAAAUUGAGUUACUUGCAAAUAGAAGAAACUGAGGAAAAAAGGCCAAAACACGCACAAAAAUAACUUUGGAAUUACGCGUGGACGUUAUCCUAGCAGAGUACAAUAGCUAAGGAAAUUACCAGAUAUAUUGCCGUUUACCCUCGUUCCCGCAGUACCUUCAUAGAUCCUUACCAUGACAGUAGAGCCAACCUUUAACGUGACAAUAAACAACUCAGAUCAAAGUGUUAUCAAAGAAACCUCUGUGGCUCAAAAUUCGUCAAGGCUUUUUGGAUGACAGUGCUCGACCCUAUGAAUGGAAAUAUUUCUGGAACAGCGAUGAAACAGCUUCGUAAUUCCCUUAAACUUGCAAACUCUUCAACCCUAGUUUAUUUCAUCUGCAUAGAUUUCUCGGAGAUAUUUUCCAUCGUAUUCCGGCUAUUUUUUUUUGGCCUCGAUUAAGCUGAAAUUUAGUUUAAAUGUCAUUUCUGAAAAUAAGAAAAAUCAAGAACAUAAAAUCAUGUUUC